GAAAAAGGGUUCCCCUUUCUCCGUAUCCUCACAUCUUCUAUUUGUGUCCUAUUACUUAGGCACCUGCGUUAAAUGUCCGCAUGUGGUGCCUGCGUCCUGUGUUCAAACACUGGCAGGAAACUGUGUCCACAGGAGGAGAUCUGGGUAUUAUCAUGAGCUACAGGUCUUCCAGCCUCAUAUGCAGAUGAUUGCUGGAGCCACCUUGCUGUCCUGGACUCCGCAUGGUUCCCCCCCGGCCAUGACACCCGCUGGCCCGCCGUCCUGCCGCCCCACAUUCCAUCAUUGGACCCCACGGGGCACUCUGGAAGCCGUGCUGACCCCCGGCCUGGGAGCCAGGACCCUCUCCAUCCGUGUGUCCUGCUCGCCUUUGUACCCACGACCCCUCCAGCAGCGGCAGGGCCAAAUACACAUUUGUGGGCUACCGCGCAAGCUCAAGAAGUUAAUCCAGGGGAAGAGCUUCAGCAGUACUUGGCACCUGGUGUGCACCUGUUGAAUGUGAGCUCGGACGGUGGGAGCCCCUGGUCCCUUCUCUGCACUCUCUGCUUCCCUUCCUCUUCCUGCCAAGAAGCCAAAUCCAUGUGGUGGUGGGUACAGCGUUGCGGUUGGCUUUCUUCACCGUCUACCUGAUGCUCCGUGCUGCUGAGAUCCACGAGGUUUUGGGGCAUUCAUCCCUCCGCUGUGGAGGGGGGCUUUUUGCAGAGGCUCCAUGGCCCAUGGGGACAAGAUUUCAGUUGCCUUGGUGCCUCUUAGGGCGUGGUCACACGCUGAGAGCAGAGGCCAUGGGGGUUAAUGAGGAAGGAAGCUGGUGGGCCACUGCCCAAUGGAGUGGCUUUUAUAAAGUCCCCUCGUCCCUGCGACAGCAGGAUGUACAAAUUGUGUGGAGGAGUGCAGGGCCAAGAGUCAGGGCCAGAGACCCCAGUCCAGCUGCCCACUGGCAAGUCCUUGCCCUGCCCAAGCCCUGCUUUCUCCAUCUGCACAAUGGCCGGUGUUGGAGGCACAUGUUAGAGCCCCUUUGGGAGCCUUUCAAACAUACCUCGCCCCAGAGAGCCUUCCCUGAUGGGCCUGGACAAUGUCUGGAAAUAAAGUCUCCCCUGUGCAGCCAGAGUCAAGAACCACAGGCCAGAUGAGUCUGAGGGCUUUUCCAACUACACAGCUAGACACUGUUUUAUCUGGAAAAAUAAACAGGUUCCCCAAAGAGCUGAUCUUGUCUGGCAAGGGAGAAACAUCAACAAACUUAUUUAUUCAACAAAUAUUUGUCAGCCGUGUCCUGUGUGCAGAGCCCUGGGCUGGGUGCUGGUGCUGGGAAGCCGGAGGUGACAGCUCGUGUUUAUCCAGGGCUUUCUGAGUGCUGAGGGUUCUGCUAAGCACAUCAGGGUAUCGGUUCGUCUCUCCUCCGCAGUGCUGGCAGAGGAGCACUGGUCCCUCCCCAUCACCACCUCCCCGAGGGAGCAUGUCCCUGCCGGAGAGUGGGAAUCGCACAGAAUUAUAGGCCAGUUCUGUGUGGGCAUAUGGGUGUAACCACCACGUCAGCAGCCUCGGGUUACCUGAGCAUCUAUCUCUUUCCCUGACAAACAUUUACAGUUUAGUAUAAAGAAAAAUAUGAUUCCAGAAGAGUUACGCAAAUCUGCAGGGUGUGGAGCUUUCAUUUUCCUAAGACCUGAACGCUCCAAUUUCCCUUAUCAUCCUGCAAGAAGGACAGUGUGAUGGAGCUUAAGCAGUCUGGCAGAGAGCCAUUGAACCCUCCCUUCUUCCACCUUUUUGUUUUAUUCAGGCCCUCAAAGAAUGGGAUGAUGCCCAUCCACUUUGGGAAGGGCAAAUUCUACAGAUUCAAGUACUUUUUUCUUCUGGAAAGGCAUCAAUAGGCACAUCUAGAAAUAAGACUCAAGCAGGUCUGGGUAUCCCAUAAUGUAGUCAAGUUGACCACAAAAUUAACUAUCACACCAACCAUCCAAUUAUCCAUCCAUCCACCCAUCUCUCCAUCCAUCCAUCCAUCCAUCCAUCCACC
Molecule: long non-coding RNA, 2005 nt
Organism: Felis catus (domestic cat)
Lineage: Eukaryota; Metazoa; Chordata; Mammalia; Carnivora; Felidae
Exons: 3
Source: RefSeq, a predicted model, not a curated record